RNAcentral lists this ribosomal RNA (696 nucleotides) under uncultured bacterium. RNAcentral describes it as "bacterial SSU rRNA". It matches the Rfam family "Bacterial small subunit ribosomal RNA", at positions 32 to 715 of the family's 1533-position model. The record is from RNAcentral.
AACGCUAGCUACAGGCUUAACACAUGCAAGUCGAGGGGAAACGACAUCGAAAGCUUGCUUUUGAUGGGCGUCGACCGGCGCACGGGUGAGUAACGCGUAUCCAACCUGCCCACCACUUGGGGAUAACCUUGCGAAAGUAAGACUAAUACCCAAUGAUAUCUCUAGAAGACAUCUGAAAGGGAUUAAAGAUUUAUCGGUGAUGGAUGGGGAUGCGUCUGAUUAGCUUGUUGGCGGGGUAACGGCCCACCAAGGCUACGAUCAGUAGGGGUUCUGAGAGGAAGGUCCCCCACAUUGGAACUGAGACACGGUCCAAACUCCUACGGGAGGCAGCAGUGAGGAAUAUUGGUCAAUGGGCGAGAGCCUGAACCAGCCAAGUAGCGUGCAGGAUGACGGCCCUAUGGGUUGUAAACUGCUUUUAUAAGGGAAUAAAGUGAGUCUCGUGAGACUUUUUGCAUGUACCUUAUGAAUAAGGACCGGCUAAUUCCGUGCCAGCAGCCGCGGUAAUACGGAAGGUCCGGGCGUUAUCCGGAUUUAUUGGGUUUAAAGGGAGCGUAGGCCGGAGAUUAAGCGUGUUGUGAAAUGUAGAUGCUCAACAUCUGCACUGCAGCGCGAACUGGUUUCCUUGAGUACGCACAAAGUGGGCGGAAUUCGUGGUGUAGCGGUGAAAUGCUUAGAUAUCACGAAGAACUCCGAUUG